Molecule: ribosomal RNA, 506 nt
Filed under: uncultured bacterium
Lineage: Bacteria
Description: partial 16S ribosomal RNA
Rfam family: Bacterial small subunit ribosomal RNA
Source: RNAcentral
AGUGAACGCUGGCGGUAGGCCUAACACAUGCAAGUCGAACGGCAGCACAGGAGAGCUUGCUCUCUGGGUGGCGAGUGGCGGACGGGUGAGGAAUACAUCGGAAUCUACUCUGUCGUGGGGGAUAACGUAGGGAAACUUACGCUAAUACCGCAUACGACCUACGGGUGAAAGCAGGGGACCUUCGGGCCUUGCGCGAUUGAAUGAGCCGAUGUCGGAUUAGCUAGUUGGCGGGGUAAAGGCCCACCAAGGCGACGAUCCGUAGCUGGUCUGAGAAGAUGAGAAGCCAAACUGGAACUGGGACACGGGCCAGAGUCCUACGGGAGGCAGCAGUGGGGAAUAUUGGACAAUGGGCGCAAGCCUGAUCCAGCCAUACCGCGUGGGUGAAGAAGGCCUUCGGGUUGUAAAGCCCUUUUGUUGGGAAAGAAAUCCAGCUGGCUAAUACCCGGUUGGGAUGACGGUACCCAAAGAAUAAGCACCGGCUAACUUCGUGCCAGCAGCCGCCGUAA